RNAcentral lists this signal recognition particle RNA (256 nucleotides) under Saimiri boliviensis boliviensis (Bolivian squirrel monkey). RNAcentral's name for it is "Metazoan signal recognition particle RNA (ENSSBOG00000006712.1)". It matches the Rfam family "Metazoan signal recognition particle RNA". Rfam says of the family: The signal recognition particle (SRP) is a universally conserved ribonucleoprotein. Lineage: Eukaryota; Metazoa; Chordata; Mammalia; Primates; Cebidae. The record is from RNAcentral.
GCUGGGUAUGGUGGCACACGCUUAUAAUCCCAGCUACUUGAGAGGCUGAGGCAGCAGGAGCUCUUGAGCCCAGGAGCUCUGGGCUAUAGUGCACUCUGCUGGUCGUGUGUCCACACUAAGUUUGGCACGAAUAUGGUGACCUCCCAGGAGAGGGAGGUCACAAAUGGAACAGCUCAAAACUCCGGGGCUGGUCAGUAGUGGGACUGCACCCGUGAUUAGCCACUGCACUCCAGCCUGGGCAGCAGUGUGACCCUCU